AGUGGACGCUGGCGGUAGGCCUAACACAUGCAAGUCGAACGGCAGCACAGUAAGAGCUUGCUCUUACGGGUGGCGAGUGGCGGACGGGUGAGGAAUACAUCGGAAUCUACUUUUUCGUGGGGGAUAACGUAGGGAAACUUACGCUAAUACCGCAUACGACCUACGGGUGAAAGCAGGGGAUCUUCGGACCUUGCGCGAUUGAAUGAGCCGAUGUCGGAUUAGCUAGUUGGCGGGGUAAAGGCCCACCAAGGCGACGAUCCGUAGCUGGUCUGAGAGGAUGAUCAGCGACACUGGAACUGGGACACGGUCCAGACUCCUACGGGAGGCAGCAGUGGGGAAUAUUGGACAAUGGGCGCAAGCCUGAUCCAGCCAGACCGCGUGGGUGAAGAAGGCCUUCGGGUUGUAAAGCCCUUUUGUUGGGAAAGAAAAGCAGCAGGUUAAUACCCCGCUGUUCUGACGGUACCCAAAGAAUAAGCACCGGCUAACUUCGUG
This 492-nucleotide ribosomal RNA is filed under the name uncultured bacterium. RNAcentral describes it as "partial 16S ribosomal RNA". It matches the Rfam family "Bacterial small subunit ribosomal RNA", at positions 29 to 507 of the family's 1533-position model. The record is from RNAcentral.